RNAcentral lists this long non-coding RNA (452 nucleotides) under Felis catus (domestic cat). Its description in RNAcentral is "lncRNA (ENSFCAG00000043433.2)". Lineage: Eukaryota; Metazoa; Chordata; Mammalia; Carnivora; Felidae. The record is from RNAcentral.
CCUAGAACUCGAGCCACAAGUCCUACCGGCCGCUCUGCGUCCUCACCUUCAAGAAUUUCUAUAGGAGCAAGCGCUAGAACAGAAGUUUUCACCAAAAACAAAGGAAGUAAGUAGAGACAAAAGCAAUACAACAAGACCGAGAAACAAAAAGCCAGGAUAUUGAUUUGGGGACUCUUGACAGUGGAAGGAGGUGCCAGCCAACUACUGAGAGGAAUGGAUCAGGCUUUUAAGAAAUUACUUCUGUGAUGAAGAGAGGAAAAGAUCCCAGAUUCUUUACCCAAGGAAUUUCCACCACCUUGUGUGAACGGAGAACAGAGAGAAAACAGAGAACAUGUAGGGGCAGGUGGCCAGCAGCCCUGGGACGGGGUGGGGGACAGAAACUCAGCACCUGACUGAGAGCUCUAAAACCGUCUUGGAAAUAAAUCAAGAUCAAGCACAGACCUGGAUGUACA